GUAGUUAGCCGGGGCUUUCUUACAGGGUACCGUCACUUCUUCGUCCCCUGCGACAGAGGUUUACAAUCCGAAAACCUUCUUCCCUCACGCGGCGUUGCUGGGUCAGGCUUGCGCCCAUUGCCCAAUAUUCCCCACUGCUGCCUCUCGUAGGAGUCUGGACCGUGUCUCAGUUCCAGUGUGGCCGAUCAGCCUCUCAGCUCGGCUACCCAUCGUCGGCUUGGUGGGCUGUUAUCUCACCAACUACCUAAUGGGACGCGAACCCCUCUAAAAGCGAUAAAUCUUUGACCUCUUCCCGAUGCCGGGUUGUGGUCUUAUGCGGUAUUAGCAGUUGUUUCCACCUGUUAUUCCCCACUCUUAGGCAGGUUGUUCACGCGUUACUCACCCGUGCGCCACUAGAAUUAUCAAUUCCAUCCGAAAACUUCCUUAAUAAUCCCCGUUCGACUUGCAUGUGUUAGGCACGCCGCCAGCGUUCGUCCUGAGCCAUAAUCAAACUCUGA
This 497-nucleotide ribosomal RNA is filed under the name uncultured bacterium. Its description in RNAcentral is "partial 16S ribosomal RNA". The record is from RNAcentral.